This 275-nucleotide long non-coding RNA is filed under the name Elaeis guineensis (African oil palm). RNAcentral describes it as "long non-coding RNA (EGUI_LNC005248)". Lineage: Eukaryota; Viridiplantae; Streptophyta; Magnoliopsida; Arecales; Arecaceae. The record is from RNAcentral.
CCUAUCAAUGAUGGUACGCUCAACAUCCACCAAGCCAAAUUGUUUUGUAGUGAAACAUCGGGCAAAAAUAUAAAAAGACAAAUUGUAACCUCCCAAGCCAUUCUGCUAUCAUAUGAAUUCUCUAGUGCAGAUGGAGAUGCAAAUUGUAAACUGACAAUCCAAUAUGGUGGACAUAAUGAGACCUCAAAACUCUCCCCAAAGAAUGCAUACUUUGAUUAUGAGCCCGGCUCAUGGGAGAAAACAAGUUGGUUUAUUGUAGGAAUGCAUCCUACCUC